This 406-nucleotide ribosomal RNA is filed under the name uncultured bacterium. Its description in RNAcentral is "partial 16S ribosomal RNA". It matches the Rfam family "Bacterial small subunit ribosomal RNA", at positions 29 to 526 of the family's 1533-position model. The record is from RNAcentral.
AUUGAACGCUGGCGGCAGGCCUAACACAUGCAAGUCGAGCGAGCGGCGGACGGGUGAGUAAUGUCUGGGAAACUGCAUGAUGGAGGGGGAUAACUCCUGGAAACGGUAGCUAAUACCGCACAUCAUCAGAUGUGCCCAGAUGGGAGUAGCUAGUAGGUGGGGUAACGGCUCACCCAGGCGACGAUCCCUAUCUGGUCUGAGAGGAUGACCAGCCACACUGGAACUGAGACACGGUGCAGACUCCUACGGGAGGCAGCAGUGGGGAAUAUUGCACAAUGGGCGCAAGCCUGAUACAGCCAUGCCGCGGGUGUGAAGAAGGCCUUCGGGUUGUAAAGCACUUUCAGCGGGGAGGCGUUACCCGCAGAAGAAGAACCGGCUAACACCGUGCCAGCAGCCGCGGUAAUAC